This 492-nucleotide ribosomal RNA is filed under the name uncultured bacterium. Its description in RNAcentral is "partial 16S ribosomal RNA". It matches the Rfam family "Bacterial small subunit ribosomal RNA", at positions 28 to 507 of the family's 1533-position model. The record is from RNAcentral.
GGUGAACGCUGGCGGUAGGCCUAACACAUGCAAGUCGAACGGCAGCACAGUAAGAGCUUGCUCUUACGGGUGGCGAGUGGCGGACGGGUGAGGAAUACAUCGGAAUCUACUUUUUCGUGGGGGAUAACGUAGGGAAACUUACGCUAAUACCGCAUACGACCUACGGGUGAAAGCAGGGGAUCUUCGGACCUUGCGCGAUUGAAUGAGCCGAUGUCGGAUUAGCUAGUUGGCGGGGUAAAGGCCCACCAAGGCGACGAUCCGUAGCUGGUCUGAGAGGAUGAUCAGCCACACUGGAACUGAGACACGGUCCAGACUCCUACGGGAGGCAGCAGUGGGGAAUAUUGGACAAUGGGCGCAAGCCUGAUCCAGCCAUACCGCGUGGGUGAAGAAGGCCUUCGGGUUGUAAAGCCCUUUUGUUGGGAAAGAAAAGCAGCAGGUUAAUACCCCGCCGUUCUGACGGUACCCAAAGAAUAAGCACCGGCUAACUUCGUG